CCCUUCUCCUUCUCCUUCUCCUUCUCCUUCUCCUUCUCCUUCUCCCU
This 47-nucleotide small RNA is filed under the name Arabidopsis thaliana (thale cress). RNAcentral's name for it is "ATSL214330". Lineage: Eukaryota; Viridiplantae; Streptophyta; Magnoliopsida; Brassicales; Brassicaceae. The record is from RNAcentral.